Calypte anna (Anna's hummingbird) is the source of this 101-nucleotide long non-coding RNA. RefSeq lists it as uncharacterized. Lineage: Eukaryota; Metazoa; Chordata; Aves; Apodiformes; Trochilidae. The transcript has 3 exons. The record is from RefSeq and is a predicted model, not a curated record.
AGUCCCCUUGAUGAUGUUUUUACAACCUGGUUUCAUGGUCUUGGACUUUCAGGAUGGCUUUUGGCUUUAGUUAAAAUGCUUUGUUAUUUUGGUAUUGUUUU